This 472-nucleotide ribosomal RNA is filed under the name uncultured bacterium. RNAcentral describes it as "partial 16S ribosomal RNA". It matches the Rfam family "Bacterial small subunit ribosomal RNA", at positions 28 to 507 of the family's 1533-position model. The record is from RNAcentral.
GUCGAACGCUGGCGGCGUGCUUAACACAUGCAAGUCGAACGCUGAAGCUUGGUGCUUGCACUGGGUGGAUGAGUGGCGAACGGGUGAGUAAUACGUGAGUAACCUGCCCUUGACUCUGGGAUAAGCCUGGGAAACUGGGUCUAAUACUGGAUACGAGAUGUCACCGCAUGGUGGUUUGUGGAAAGGGAUUUACUGGUAUUGGAUGGGCUCACGGCCUAUCAGCUUGUUGGUGGGGUAAUGGCACACCAAGGCGACGACGGGUAGCCGGCCUGAGAGGGUGACCGGCCACACUGGGACUGAGACACGGCCCAGACUCCAACGGGAGGCAGCAGUGGGGAAUAUUGCACACUGAGCGGAAGCCUGAUGCAGCGACGCCGCGUGAGGGAUGACGGCCUUCGGGUUAUAAACCUCUUUCAGCUCGGAAGAAGCUAAAGUGACGGUACGUGCAGAAGAAGCGCCGGCUAACUACGUG